UAACACGUGGGUAACCUGCCCAUCAGAGGGGGAUAACACUUGGAAACAGGUGCUAAUACCGCAUAAUAGUCGACACCGCAUGGUGUUGAUUUGAAAGACGCUUUCGGGUGUCACUGAUGGAUGGACCCGCGGUGCAUUAGCUAGUUGGUGAGGUAACGGCUCACCAAGGCGAUGAUGCAUAGCCGACCUGAGAGGGUGAUCGGCCACACUGGGACUGAGACACGGCCCAGACUCCUACGGGAGGCAGCAGUAGGGAAUCUUCGGCAAUGGACGAAAGUCUGACCGAGCAACGCCGCGUGAGUGAAGAAGGUUUUCGGAUCGUAAAACUCUGUUGUUAGAGAAGAAUAAGUAGGAGAGUAACUGCUCUUACCUUGACGGUAUCUAACCAGAAAGCCACGGCUAACUACGUGCCAGCAGCCGCGGUAAUACGUAGGUGGCAAGCGUUGUCCGGAUUUAUUGGGCGUAAAGCGAGCGCAGGCGGUUUCUUAAGUCUGAUGUGAAAGCCCCCGGCUCAACCGGGGAGGGUCAUUGGAAACUGGGAGACUUGAGUGCAGAAGAGGAGAGUGGAAUUCCAUGUGUAGCGGUGAAAUGCGUAGAUAUAUGGAGGAACACCAGUGGCGAAAGKGACUCUCUGGUCUGUAACUGACGCUGAGCUCGAAAGCGUGGGGAGCAAACAG
Molecule: ribosomal RNA, 677 nt
Filed under: uncultured bacterium
Lineage: Bacteria
Description: bacterial SSU rRNA
Rfam family: Bacterial small subunit ribosomal RNA
Source: RNAcentral